UACGUAGGGGGCAAGCGUUGUCCGGAAUCAUUGGGCGUAAAGCGCGUGUAGGCGGCCCGGUAAGUCCGCUGUAAAAGUCCAGGGCUCAACCCUGGAAAGGCGGUGGAUACUGUCGGGCUAGAGUCCGGAAGAGGCGAGUGGAAUUCCUGGUGUAGCGGUGGAAUGCGCAGAUAUCAGGAGGAACACCGAUGGCGAAGGCAGCUCGCUGGGACGGUACUGACGCUGAGGCGCGAAAGCGUGGGGAGCGAACAGG
RNAcentral lists this ribosomal RNA (253 nucleotides) under uncultured bacterium. RNAcentral's name for it is "partial 16S ribosomal RNA". It matches the Rfam family "Bacterial small subunit ribosomal RNA", at positions 524 to 776 of the family's 1533-position model. The record is from RNAcentral.